Molecule: non-coding RNA, 1489 nt
Organism: Picea glauca (white spruce)
Lineage: Eukaryota; Viridiplantae; Streptophyta; Pinopsida; Pinales; Pinaceae
Source: Rfam
CUCAUGGAGAGUUUGAUCCGGGCUUAGUAUGAACGCUCGCAACAUGCUAAACACAUGAAAGUCGGACGGGAAGUGGUGUUUCCAAUGGCGGACGGGUGUGUAACCCGUAAGACCCUGCCCUUGGGAGGGGAACAACACUGGAAGCGACUGAUAAUACCCUAUAGGUUGGGGAGAAAAAGGAGGAAUCCGUCGAAGGAGGGGAUCAUGUCUGAUUAGUUAUUUAGUGAGGCAAUGUCUUACCAAGGCGAUGAUAAGUAGCUAGUCCGAGAGGAUGAUCAGCCACAAUGGGACUGAGACAUGACCCAGACUCCUACGGGAGGCAACAGUGGGGAAUUUUUUGCAAUGGGUUAAAGCUUGAUGGAGCAAUGUCUUGUGAAGGAAGAAGGCCCAUGGGUCAUGAACUUCUUUUCUCAAAGAAUAAACAAUGACAAUAUCUAAGGAAUAAGCAUUGGCUAACUCUGUACCAACAACCAUAGUAAGACAGAAUAUGAAAGAAUUAUCCAGAAUGAUUGGGCGUAAAGCGUUUGUAGGUGAUUUUUCAAGUCCAUCAUCAAAUCCCAGGGCUCAACCCUGGACAGGCGGUGGAAAAUACCAAGCCGAAGUAUGGUAGGGGCAGAGGGAAUUUUCGAUGGAGCAGUGAAAUGCGUUGAGAUUGGAAAGAACACCAAUGGCGAAAACACUCUGUUGGGCCGACACUGACACUGAGAGAUGAAAUCUAGGGUAGCAAAUGGGAUUAGAUACCCCAAUAGUCCUAGUUGUAAAUGAUGGAUACUAAGUGUUGUGGAUAUCGACCCGCGCAGUGUUGUAGCUAACACGUUAAGUAUCCCUCCUAGGGAGUAUGAUCACAAGAAUGAGACUCAAAGGAAUUAACAAGGGCCCACACAAGCAGUGGAGCAUGUGGCUCAAUUCUAUGCAAAGCAAAGAACCUUUCCAGGGUUUGACAUGCCGUGAAUCCUCCCCAAAGAGAGGAGUGCCUUCGGGAACACGAACAUAGGUGGUGCAUGGAUGUCGUCAUCUCAUGUCGUAAGGUGUUGGGUUAAGUCCCACAAUGAGCACAACCCUUGUGUUUAGUUGUCAACAUUGAGUUUGGAACCCUGAACAGACUGUCGAUGAUAAGCCAGCGGAAGGUGAGGAUGACGUCAAGUAAUCAUGCCUCUUACGCCCUGGGCGACACACAUGCUACAUUGAUAGGGACAAAGGGUCGUGACCCCGCGAGGGAAAGAUAACCUCAAAAACCCGGCCUCAAUUUGGAUUGCAGGCUGCAACUUGCCUGCAUGAAGCCAUAAUCAAUAGUAAUCGUUGGUCAUCCAUACGGCGGUGAAUCCAUUCCCGAGCCUUGUACACACCGCCUGUCACACUAUGGGAGCUAGACAUGCCCCAAGUCGUUACCUUAACUGCAAGGAGGGGGAUGUUGAAGGAUGGGCUAGUGACUGGAGUGAAGUCGUAACAAGGUAGCCAUACUGGAAGGUGUGGCUGGAUCACCUCCUUU